Molecule: ribosomal RNA, 207 nt
Filed under: uncultured bacterium
Lineage: Bacteria
Description: partial 16S ribosomal RNA
Rfam family: Bacterial small subunit ribosomal RNA
Source: RNAcentral
CACGUAGGCGGACCGGAAAGUUGGGGGUGAAAUCCCGGGGCUCAACCCCGGAACUGCCUUCAAAACUAUCGGUCUGGAGUUCGAGAGAGGUGAGUGGAACUCCGAGUGUAGAGGUGAAAUUCGUAGAUAUUCGGAGGAACACCAGUGGCGAAGGCGGCUCACUGGCUCGAUACUGACGCUGAGGUGCGAAAGCGUGGGGAGCAAACA